This 403-nucleotide ribosomal RNA is filed under the name uncultured bacterium. RNAcentral's name for it is "partial 16S ribosomal RNA". It matches the Rfam family "Bacterial small subunit ribosomal RNA", at positions 30 to 526 of the family's 1533-position model. The record is from RNAcentral.
AUUGAACGCUGGCGGCAGGCCUAACACAUGCAAGUCGAGCGAGCGGCGGACGGGUGAGUAAUGUAUGGGGACUGCCCGAUAGAGGGGGAUAACUACUGGAAACGGUAGCUAAUACCGCAUACUAUCGGAUAACCCAUAUGGGAUUAGCUAGUUGGUGAGGUAAUGGCUCACCAAGGCGACGACCCGUAGCUGGUCUGAGAGGAUGAUCAGCCCCACUGGGACUGGGACACGGCCCUGGCUCCUACGGAGGCAGCAGUGGGGAAUGUUGCACAAUGGGCGCAAGCCUUAUGCAGCCAUGCCGCGUGUAUGAAGAAGGCCCUAGGGUUGUAAAGUACUUUCUGUCGGGGGGCGUUACCGACAGAAGAAGCACCGGCUAACUCCGUGCCAGCAGCCGCGGUAAUUC